This 329-nucleotide ribosomal RNA is filed under the name uncultured bacterium. Its description in RNAcentral is "bacterial SSU rRNA". It matches the Rfam family "Bacterial small subunit ribosomal RNA", at positions 568 to 898 of the family's 1533-position model. The record is from RNAcentral.
CGCGUAGGCGGGUCUCCAAGUCCGGGGUGAAAGCUUUCGGCUUAACCGGAAAGUGCCUUGGAUACUGGAGAUCUUGAGGGAGGUAGGGGCAGCCGGAACUUCCGGUGGAGCGGUGAAAUGCGUUGAUAUCGGAAGGAACGCCGGUGGCGAAAGCGGGCUGCUGGAUCUCUACUGACGCUGAGGCGCGAAAGCCAGGGGAGCGAACGGGAUUAGAUACCCCGGUAGUCCUGGCCCUAAACGAUGGGUACUGGGUAGGGACUUGACAUGGGUUCCCUGCCGCAGCGAAAGUGGUAAGUACCCCGCCUGGGGAGUAUGGUCGCAAGGCUGAA